Acipenser ruthenus (sterlet) is the source of this 619-nucleotide long non-coding RNA. RefSeq lists it as uncharacterized. The transcript has 3 exons. Lineage: Eukaryota; Metazoa; Chordata; Actinopteri; Acipenseriformes; Acipenseridae. The record is from RefSeq and is a predicted model, not a curated record.
UUUGCAGAGGAAUAUCUGUUUACCAACAGCCUCGACAGAGUGUGCACCAAUCAGACUGCUGUGAACAGUGCACAAAUGUGUAUUUCAAAACAACUGUUGGAAUAGUCUGGUGAGAUGUUUUUUUGUAUAUACUGCAGUUGCACAAGGCUUCAGGACACAGAAAUCAUGUUCGAUGUGAAAUCUGCUACAGAUGGGCCCAUCUAUCAUGCUUGCCUGAAAAUGAGAAGCAGAAAGACUUUGAAAAUGUGCGUUAUCAAUGUAAUAAAUGUGUGGAUUAAGAUGCUACAGUACUGUGGGAUUGGUUGUGGGUUGUGUUUAGAAGUUUUGCCUUUUGUAAUUCUUUGUCUGUUUCUGUAGAUGCUGUUGGCACCCUUGUUUUUCGUGUGUAAAAUAUAAUUAUUCCUUAUUGUGUAAUACUGUAGUAUUAUGUUUGAUUAUUUUGUAGUACAGUAUUAUGAUGUACCACUUCCUAACACUACAGUAACUUUACAAGAACUGGUGUACUGUGUUUAGUGUGCAUUGUGGCAGAAUUAUUGCUGCUGCAUUCUGUAUUAACUGCAGCCUCUAAUGUACAAGAAGAGAGCAUUAAAAUAAUGAAGAUGUGAUAAAGAACAAAAAA